CGUCUAGUGUAUUUCAUGUAGUACAUAAUGGGAGGGGAACGCAAGGACGUCCAAAGUGGGUUAACAGUGGUACACCUUGUAAUCAUUCCGGUUAGAAACAAUGCGACGAAGCACAAGGGAAAGGUUUGAAAGUGUGGCACUUCUACGCCGUUUUGCGUCAUGUUUCAGCUGUAUAUUUAGGACUAACGCUUAAAGGAGAAAAUGAUAAUUAUAAAAAAAAAAAAAAAAUCAAAAUCAUACCUGUUUAUUUAGGGGAACUUAUUUGAUUGUGUGUGCUUCUGGAGACAAAAUUUGCAAAAUUACGAAUGGAUUUUGUUGCUGGGUGUUCGCUCACCAAAAUUUGAUUCAGUUUAUUAUAUAUAUAUAUAUUAUCCUGUCUUUAAUUUCCUAAUAAUGUCCUGUUUUUAAUAUUUUUUUUUAAGAAAAGAUACAGCCGAGGAAUUGAUAACCCCUCCCCUAAAAAACAAACAAACAAACAAACAAAAAACAACACACACACAGUUCUAGGUUUUGUGAAAUGUUGCUUUCUUUAUUUGUAAAAUGCAUCCUGAAUGUAGCCUUUCUGAACAUGGCCGCUCUGACAUGCUCCAUGUAGCCCCGUACAGUGUGUGUACAUACCUUUAAAUGAAGAGGGGCUUAAGUUUGCACCGACAUGUAGGCAUUGUUUUUGUAAGUGAAUGUGUCCACGGUGUUCGUGGCAGUUGCAGGACGCGCUCUGCUAAUUGGCAUGCUUUUCUGUCCCGCCACAAAAGAGAGGCCCCAGCAGCUUAUAUGGCGAGGCAGAUCACAACAAACCCCAAAGCCCGUGAAUGAUGUCAGCCCUCCUCACAAGCACACAGGGAAGGGGAGGAUGUGGGCUGUGAGGGGGGCAUUCACUUGUAGAAUGAUUGUUUAAAAAAAAAUCAAAAAGAGAAAAGAAAAGGAAGGAGGAAAGAAAAAGGAGAAAGACAGAGAAGUGUAAAAAAAAAGUGCGUUUAAAAUAACUUGUGGAUACAUAUUGUAGAUGUCAGUGACACACACACACACACACACACACACACACACACACACACACACACACACACACAACUCACCAUAGGCCUUAUGUCCGAGGCUGGAGCUACUACAACUAAAACUUGAACUUUUUGAUGUUCUCAGUCUGUCUUUGACUCUGUGUGACACAGGCUUGUCCUAUACUACAUCGUUAUAUGUUAUUCUACACGGGCAUGACUGCAGCAGUAAAACGGAGGGAGGUGUAGCUUUGUUACAAGCACAUAUAGGCUGCACGGCGCAGGAAGGAGCGGAAUCCAUUCGCAACGCAAAGCGGCAGCCUAUUUCCACGCACAAACCACGGCUGACGGGCAUAAGUGGUGGUUUUCUGGGGAGGGGAGUUACCUGACAGAGACCCUAUCAACGUAAACAAGUGUGUGUGUGUGUGUGUGUGUGUGUGUGUGUGUGUGUGUGUGUGUGUGUGUGUGAGCUACAUCCAUGCCCUCCUCACCCAUUCAGCUGGUUUGACAUAUUACAAUACUUGAGGUCAGGUGUUUUUGACGCGGAAUUUUUUCGAAGUCACUGGCUGUUUAUAUAUUAUAUGAAACUGAAUAUUUAUUUUUGUGAAUUUUUUAUGGGAGGACGGGAAUUUUCUUGUACAUUGAUUCUUUGUUGUGAAUACAGAACAACUGCACUCGAAAUGGAAACUUGAACUGUGGUUUUCUGAAGCACUUUCCCUUUCUAUUCUUUUUUGUUUGUUUGUUGGUUGGUUGGUUGGUUGGUUUGUCUGUUAAUUAUGGAACCUUCAUUAAACGGGACUGAGUGUGAUCAUCA
Long non-coding RNA from Poecilia latipinna (sailfin molly), 1803 nucleotides. RefSeq lists it as uncharacterized. The transcript has 2 exons. The record is from RefSeq and is a predicted model, not a curated record. NCBI's taxonomy places the organism in Eukaryota, Metazoa, Chordata, Actinopteri, Cyprinodontiformes, Poeciliidae.